CCCGCCCCUAGCCCCUAGCCCCGCCCCCGUCGCCGCCCCGAGGCCGUGGCGGGCGGUUCAGGCCGGCCGGAACCUCUCCUCCGGGGCCCGCCCGCCAUGACGAUCACCUACAGCUGUGUCGCUAAUGGCCGAGCGGUCCUAGCGGAGCUGGCCCUGACCGGCGGCUCCUAUCAGGUGGCAUUAAACAAGAUUGAAAUUACAGAAGGAGGAGCAGGAUUUUGAAGGAGGAAGUCAGAGGGAAUGCAGGGGAGGAGAGUAUAGUUUGAAACGGGUUGUAGUUUGUUGCCUGUUGGAAGUGGCCAAUCUAGUUGGGUAUUUUUUCCUCCACCGGCCAAUCUAGUUGGGUAUUUCUUCCUCCGCCUUAUUCCCAAAAGAUUGAGGUCAAAAAAAUGUCCAACAAGUAGCGCUCAGAGAGUCAUGGCUAACAGUUGAAGCUAGUAGAAGAAGGUAGAAAAGAAAAGUAUGAAAGUGAGGAGAGAAGAGGACCAAAAGGCAGAACACUGCAGGAGCAGGGUAGAGAAAUGGGGCACCAAAUGAGAGCUGUGGGUCCGAAAAGCCAGAGAAGAAAGUUAAAGGAAUGGUUUAUGCCCCCAAAGAAGUUGAACAAGACUUAAAAAGUGCUCAUUGGAUCCCCAAUUAGAAAAUGAUUGAUGGUUUUAGGAUUAGCAGUUUGGAAAAAGCAGUAGAGGCAAAAGCCCCAUUGCUUGAGGCCAACUGAAUGGGAGGUGAGGGAAUAGGAAGAGUGGAGUUAGACCUUCUCACAAGAUUUUAGAAGGGAAGUGAGAUAGAGUAAAAGCUGAAGAAGUAUGGUCCAGGAAGGGGCCUCACUUUUUAAAACAGGAAAGACUUUCAACGUAUGUGGGCUAAUGGAAAGGAGAAAAGGUUUACAAUAAAAGAGAUGAGGUU
This 906-nucleotide long non-coding RNA is filed under the name Canis lupus familiaris (dog). RNAcentral's name for it is "lncRNA (ENSCAFG00000054540.1)". Lineage: Eukaryota; Metazoa; Chordata; Mammalia; Carnivora; Canidae. The record is from RNAcentral.